Molecule: non-coding RNA, 2207 nt
Organism: Thamnophis sirtalis
Lineage: Eukaryota; Metazoa; Chordata; Lepidosauria; Squamata; Natricidae
Source: RefSeq, a predicted model, not a curated record
UAUAACGAAGCCGACUGGAGUCGCCUUCCUAUCACCGGCGUUCCGUGAAAAUAUUGUUCCGGGGUGGAGAUGUUAUGGAGGGGAUCAACGAGUGUCUGGUCAAGGUGGAUGCACUACAGGUCCCAUCAAUGAAGUGUUUCCAUUUUAUGGGACUGAAGAAGUGUCCUUUCUGUCAUAGCCCUGCCCUCAGGAACAACAUCCCAGUCUCCUUGAUUUCUGGAAGCCUCUUUUAAGACAUCCCAGGCAUGAAGGUAGGCUGGCUGUGGUGCCCACUGCAUUCCCCCCCCUUAAAUAUUGGGAAUACUGUUUUAAUCCAGGUAGUCAUGUGGUAUUCAGUUAUUCAUAAUGCAUGGAUAGGUUGAUUGCCUCAUUUAGUGACCAUUUGUAGUUACAAUGUGAUGAAAAAGCGAUUUUGUGAAUAAUCUUCACAUUUAUGAACUUUGUUAACAAAGGAAAGCUGAAGUAAGAUCAUAAGCCGUCAUGGUUUUGUUUAUUGACUGUUUUACUUAAUGGCCGAGUAGCUAGUCCCAAUUCUUUUGGGUUUAGUUACCUGUACUGGACUUCUUAUAUGCCACCCAAAAUCAUGCUGGAGUUGGGUGGCCUUGACAAAUCCAAAUAAAAUAAAAUAUUAAAUUAGAAUUGGAUUGUUAAACUGGACAUCUUGCGGAUUCCAAUGUAAAAAGUCAUGGAUAUAUAUGUGGAAGGACAGACUGCCUGAACAGACAAAAGUAUCUAUGCUCCUUCCUCACACCUUCUUGGCUCUCCCUAGUUGUCAAGAUAACCUGAUUGUCAAUCAAACAGCAGUUGCUGGACACAAGAGGUUCACAGGCCUUGGGAAGAAAAGGUUGCACAAGCACAGUCAAAGCGUGUGAGUCAAAUAAAGAGGCAAACUAAAAGACAGACGGACCCGAUUAGAAGAGGCAGCCGAGAAAGGAGUAGCUAAAAAAACUGUGGGAAGAGAUAUGUCUUUUCCCUUCCCUCAAAGCUGGUGUGAGGUAAACGUUCUACUAGCCAUUUCCCUACGAGGGAGCAAAGAUUCAAGAGAGAAGAACUAAGACACCCAGCCAAAAAACCCCAACCAAGUACAAAAGAUGAAGAAAAAGUCUGAAAUUCACAACAAAAAAUAGAAAACAAACUAAAAAAGACAGAUUGAACUCUGCAGAAAGCAUGCAACUCUACAGGGUGACAACAGGGAGUAAGACAACAAAAAUAUAAAAAUCAGAAAUAAAUAUAUUUGAAACAUAAAAUCGAAAGAUAAAAAAUAUAGUGAAAGGGGACUUUAAAGAAUAUAGAGUAGAUAAAAAGCUUCUAAAAUACACAAAGAACAUUAUUUUUUAAGUCAGUUCUGAACUAGUUGAAGGGAUUUAUAACUUUUUAUAUGUAAGCCUUCCUGUGUAUAAAAUACACAGUAGUUUCACUUAAUGCCAGUAUUCCUUUUGGUCAAAGAUAAGUUAUCAAUAUUUUGCUGAUCUGACAGUAAACUGCAGGUGUUUCUUUGUUCAGAACUGAUAUUUGCAAAGAGAUUAAAAAUACAUAAUACAAACCACUGGAGCAUUCAGAAAUGUAAGAUGACACUUUCUUUUGUUCUGUAGCUGGAGGAAAUAUCUAUUAUGAAAAUAGCAACAGUACUGUUUUCUGGUGUGUUCCCCUUCCACUUUAUUUUAUGCCUAAAACAUUUUCAUGGUCUAAAUGAAGGUAAAAAGUUCAAGCCUAUUUCUGAAAUGUUAACAAAUAUACAUAAUGUACAGGAAAAUUCAACAUUCAUAGUACUGGUAUUUCUUUUUUAUUUAAGAACAGAAUAAAGCAUUUUUAAAUAUAUUAAUUUUAAGUAUGCUACACAAACAAGACGCUGGUUUGCACAUUAACAGUUUUCAAAACCAAGAUUGCAAUGGCCCUUUCCCACCCAAAAUACUGAUGCAACAAACAGAUUACUUUUUAGGACAAAUAUAAAGUCAGAAAUCCCUUAGUAAAAAGGUAGUAAAGGAAAAUUAAAAUGCCACAGCUUUGAUGGCUACAGAUCAAAGUAAAUAUUUUGAGAGAACCAACUUCUUUUGUUAUUUUUACAGAUUACUCAUUUUUUUAUUGUAAGGCAUGAAGGUUUGUAUAUGGUUACCAAAGUGGUAGCCACAAUCAUGGGUAUGGCUCGUUUGGACCACAUCCAGGGUACAGAAGAGGUUUGAGCAUUUAGUCAAAGAACCAAUUCAAAA